RNAcentral lists this small nuclear RNA (149 nucleotides) under Echinops telfairi (small Madagascar hedgehog). Its description in RNAcentral is "U1 spliceosomal RNA (ENSETEG00000022587.1)". It matches the Rfam family "U1 spliceosomal RNA". Rfam says of the family: U1 is a small nuclear RNA (snRNA) component of the spliceosome (involved in pre-mRNA splicing). Its 5' end forms complementary base pairs with the 5' splice junction, thus defining the 5' donor site of an intron. Lineage: Eukaryota; Metazoa; Chordata; Mammalia; Afrosoricida; Tenrecidae. The record is from RNAcentral.
AAAAUUAUGGCAGGAGAGAUACCAUAAUCACGAAGGUGGUUUUCCCAGGGCGAGGCUUAUCCAUUGCACUCCAGAUGUGCAGACCCCUGCGAUUUCCCCAAUGUGGGAAACUCAACUGCUUAAUUUGUGGUAGUGGGGGACUGCAUUCG